CAGCAGCCGCGGGAAUACGUAGGUGGCAAGCGUUGUCCGGAAUUAUUGGGCGUAAAGCGAGCGCAGGCGGUUAGAUAAGUCUGAAGUUAAAGGCUGUGGCUUAACCAUAGUACGCUUUGGAAACUGUUUAACUUGAGUGCAGAAGGGGAGAGUGGAAUUCCAUGUGUAGCGGUGAAAUGCGUAGAUAUAUGGAGGAACACCGGUGGCGAAAGCGGCUCUCUGGUCUGUAACUGACGCUGAGGCUCGAAAGCGUGGGGAGCAAACAGGAUUAGAUACCCCUGUAGUCCCUGUCUCUUAUACA
Molecule: ribosomal RNA, 301 nt
Filed under: uncultured bacterium
Lineage: Bacteria
Description: partial 16S ribosomal RNA
Rfam family: Bacterial small subunit ribosomal RNA
Source: RNAcentral